GCCAGGCAUGGUGGUGCAUGCCUGUAGUCCCAGCUACUUGGGAGGCUGAGGUGGUAGGAUUGCUUGAGCCUAGGAGUUCAGAGACUGCAGUGAGCUAUGAUUGCACCACAGCACUCCAGCCUGGGCAACAGAGCAGAACCUUAUCUCCA
This is an unclassified non-coding RNA of Callithrix jacchus (white-tufted-ear marmoset), 149 nucleotides long. It matches the Rfam family "Metazoan signal recognition particle RNA". Rfam says of the family: The signal recognition particle (SRP) is a universally conserved ribonucleoprotein. Lineage: Eukaryota; Metazoa; Chordata; Mammalia; Primates; Cebidae. The record is from Ensembl.